This 33-nucleotide unclassified non-coding RNA is filed under the name Severe acute respiratory syndrome coronavirus 2. Its description in RNAcentral is "RNA (24-MER) from Severe acute respiratory syndrome coronavirus 2 (PDB 7N0C, chain D)". Lineage: Riboviria; Orthornavirae; Pisuviricota; Pisoniviricetes; Nidovirales; Coronaviridae. The record is from RNAcentral.
CGGUCAUUCUCCUAAGAAGCUAUUAAAAUCACC